UGAUUUUGAAACCGCUAGA
RNAcentral lists this unclassified non-coding RNA (19 nucleotides) under Yersinia enterocolitica (type O:8). Lineage: Bacteria; Pseudomonadati; Pseudomonadota; Gammaproteobacteria; Enterobacterales; Yersiniaceae. The record is from RNAcentral.